Long non-coding RNA from Eurytemora carolleeae, 1319 nucleotides. RefSeq lists it as uncharacterized. NCBI's taxonomy places the organism in Eukaryota, Metazoa, Arthropoda, Copepoda, Calanoida, Temoridae. The transcript is spliced from 5 exons. The record is from RefSeq and is a predicted model, not a curated record.
UUGUUUUUAAAAAGCCUAAGCCUCAAAACUUUGUAAAUAAUGAGUUUUAUCUUUCAGAACACAAUGGGUUAGUUGCCCCCUUCUAACCUGAAAUUGUGUUUCUUUCUCCAGAUAAUUGUGAUUGUUGUGAUUCCUCUAAAUAGUUCCGGGCUCGUAUCCGUGCUUUAAACCAGGCUGGCACGAGUCCCGUUGAUAUACAACCUCGACUUGCUCCGCUGACUCGCGGAGAAGUUCUCAACUCCUGAGAUGGUUCCGUUUACUUCUAAUCUGAGAUGGUUCAGUUCUCUUCUAAUCCCACCUACUAAUCUUGACAUCCUGAGUCUAAGGAAGUCUAUAUAAAGACCUCUGUUGUCAAGUCUCCGACAUCACCGGAAGCUGAGUCAUCCUUGUUCUCUGGAUCCUCAGCUUAUGCUCCAGAAUAUCCUGCUGGUACUCUAGAGACCCAUAUACCUCUACGUACCAGGCCUGCACAACUUUGGCUUAGUUGUAUCCUCUUCUCUGGUUUCUCCGACGAGAAGAACUUUUGCUCCCCUCCGAUACCUCCACGGAAGGGCUCUGAUUCUGUAUCCCUGGUCUAGCUCCUCCUCUAGAUCAAAUACAGUUAUCCUGUUCGCGACUGCGGUGGAAUUUAAUGAACUAUAGGCUACAAACCUCUGGACAAAUCAACAUUGUAAGUUUAUUUUCUUAUUAUAUAAAUAAUUUAAUAGUUAACCUGGAGAAAGUUUUAUUUUAAAAGGCUAAAAUUUUAUUAUGGUCAUGCAUAUAAUUAACCCUGGACUGAUUUAUUGUGUUUUCAGUUUCGGUUGAGUCCUGUAUAAACUGCCUACCUGAAAUAUAUACAUAAGACUUAAUCAGUGCAAAUAGAGGCGAGCCGAAGAGAAAGAGUUCAUGCUCGCUCUUAUGUUUGUAGUUAUUACCUGGUCUCCUAUAGGUAAAAAUGAGCACAGAUAUAUUUUUAAAGAAUGCGUCUUUUAUAAUUAUUUUCAAUGGACCUAAAAUAACAUUCAUAGGGAAAAAUUGGAUAUAUUGGUAGAAAAUACAUAGUGGGAGCACUACAACUGUAAAAUUAAAAUAUGAAUGAUAGACAUCUGGUAUGAUUUGAAUCAAUUCACUUCAUAAUCUGAUUUUCAGGUUACUUGUAAAACUAUUGGAGCGUUGUAACAACAUCAAAUUGCUCAACUGUCGCGCGUCUUUCCAUAACAGUCUAAUGGGUCCAACUUUACAUGUAAAAAUUGAGAAAACGUAUAAUCAAACACAUGGAAAAUUGGGAAAAUGUACUUGAGGGAAAUUGGAAAAACAUGCCGGGGUUUAAGUGCCUA